Papaver somniferum (opium poppy) is the source of this 1089-nucleotide long non-coding RNA. RefSeq lists it as uncharacterized. Lineage: Eukaryota; Viridiplantae; Streptophyta; Magnoliopsida; Ranunculales; Papaveraceae. The transcript has 5 exons. The record is from RefSeq and is a predicted model, not a curated record.
UUCACUCGGAGUUCACAUCUACCGCAUCUUCUUCUUCUUAUCCAUUUACUCACCACAUCGAUCUCUCAGAAAAACCCUAAAAUUCCCAAAUCUCAAAUCCAGCUCAUUUCUUCAUCUUUCACUUUCACCAGAAAUUUCGUGACAUCAUUCGAUCUGAGAAGAAAAUAGACAAACACUAGCCAUCAACUAAAACCUAGUAAACCAAAUCAAUCACUCUCCAUCCCCACCUCUCUCUCAAUCUCUCUUAUAAUCUGUCUAAUUAAACAACAAAAAUAGCACAGAAGAUGUAUCGGAAAAAUAAUUAGAGGAUGUUGAUGAAGACAGAAAUCGUAAGGGAUGAUUUUUCUAUCUUAUGGUUAGGGUUCCUUUCUUCUUUCAAUUUUUCUUACAAUCCUUAGAGUUCUUAUCGAGAAAAUAUGAUGACCACAAGUAUAUAAAUCUUGUGAAAUAAUGAAAACGGGGGUAUGUUAGAAUAUAUGGUUCUGGACUUGGAGAAUUUUUAUUAAAGGCGGAUCUUCUUAGAGCAGUGGUCGAUCUGGGAUUGAGCAUAUCUGCUACGAGUUUGAGCGGUUCAGCACUUACCCUACCUGAUACUAAAUUUUUUGUGUUCAAUGGUAGUUUAAGCAUCAAUACCCACGAGGAAUUACUAAAUAAAGAGUGCCUCAUGUUGAUACUUAAUUACACAUGGUUUGGCAGAGCAUGUUAAUUUGGUACGAAAGGGCUUGCAAUUUAAUUGGUCACUUCAUGUGUAGGUUCAAGAGAGGCUUGAAGUAAAAAUAAUUACGCUGAUAUUAAAGAACAGGUUCUGAAAAUUUGCUUCAACUGAACUGAGUUCUGGAUCUACAGCAGAAAGAACGAUAGAGUUGAUACAGUAGUCAAAGCUUGUUGCGAGUCAAGAUAAAAAAAAGUCAUGGUAAAUAGAUUUUGAGCAUCUUGGCUGUCAGAGGAAGAUUCUCACUGAUGAACUGAUGGUAGAACCUUUCUCCUUAGUUGUGCCAAUUUAUUAUGUGAAGCUUGCAAUAUGAAUAUAGGUUAAGGUUCUCCAACUUAGUGUUAGAAGUUUUUCAGACUUGCAGUAUUUUGUUAGUU